UUACUGUAUACACGGGAUUUCUCAAGCAAUCGGGCUCCCUCUCCGCUACUAUGGUCCCACAACUGAUAUUCUCCGAACCUUUGGGGCCUUCCACAUCCCAGGCCGGUACCGCAGGGGCCCCCUGCCCUACCCAGCAAACCCUAAGGGUAGGCGCAUGCCGUAGAGCGGUCUGUCGGUUUGGUAGCGAGAAGCCGGAUCACGCAGCAACUGCAACACGGAAGAGGGCUCGGGCGACGUCGCGUGAGGACAACAGCGCAGUGGGGUGAGGACGCAGCCGACCUUCGCUUCGCCUCCUCCCCCUCGGGGGCCUCCUCGGGCGGCUCUGAUGUGCACGGCGACCACACUUCCCAGAGGCCACUGCCGGCAAAGCGGCGGGUGGCACAGCGUCGCAGCCUCCACCUUUUUCGGCCGACGAUUGGACGACGCUGCAGGCGCCCAUCGCGCAGGCUCGGGGGCCCUCUCAU
Procambarus clarkii (red swamp crayfish) is the source of this 464-nucleotide non-coding RNA. NCBI's taxonomy places the organism in Eukaryota, Metazoa, Arthropoda, Malacostraca, Decapoda, Cambaridae. The record is from RefSeq and is a predicted model, not a curated record.